GGGAGUGUAGCUCAGUGGCUAUAGUGCAUGCUUAGCAUUCAUGAGACCUGGGUUUGAUCCCUAGCAUCCCCC
Molecule: transfer RNA, 72 nt
Filed under: Dipodomys ordii (Ord's kangaroo rat)
Lineage: Eukaryota; Metazoa; Chordata; Mammalia; Rodentia; Heteromyidae
Rfam family: tRNA
About the family: Transfer RNA (tRNA) molecules are approximately 80 nucleotides in length. Their secondary structure includes four short double-helical elements and three loops (D, anti-codon, and T loops).
Source: Rfam by way of RNAcentral